GAGUUUGAUCCUGGCUCAGGACGAACGCUGGCGGCGUGCUUAACACAUGCAAGUCGAACGAUGAAGCCGCUUCGGUGGUGGAUUAGUGGCGAACGGGUGAGUAACACGUGGGCAAUCUGCCCUGCACUCUGGGACAAGCCCUGGAAACGGGGUCUAAUACCGGAUAUGAUCACCGGCCGCAUGGUCUGGUGGUGGAAAGCUCCGGCGGUGCAGGAUGAGCCCGCGGCCUAUCAGCUUGUUGGUGGGGUGAUGGCCUACCAAGGCGACGACGGGUAGCCGGCCUGAGAGGGCGACCGGCCACACUGGGACUGAGACACGGCCCAGACUCCUACGGGAGGCAGCAGUGGGGAAUAUUGCACAAUGGGCGCAAGCCUGAUGCAGCGACGCCGCGUGAGGGAUGACGGCCUUCGGGUUGUAAACCUCUUUCAGCAGGGAAGAAGCGCAAGUGACGGUACCUGCAGAAGAAGCACCGGCUAACUACGUGCCAGCAGCCGCGGUAAUACGUAGGGUGCGAGCGUUGUCC
This 523-nucleotide non-coding RNA is filed under the name Streptomyces qinglanensis. Its description in RNAcentral is "Streptomyces sp. 172205 Bacterial small subunit ribosomal RNA". It matches the Rfam family "Bacterial small subunit ribosomal RNA", at positions 9 to 546 of the family's 1533-position model. The record is from Rfam by way of RNAcentral. Lineage: Bacteria; Bacillati; Actinomycetota; Actinomycetes; Kitasatosporales; Streptomycetaceae.